RNAcentral lists this ribosomal RNA (253 nucleotides) under uncultured bacterium. RNAcentral's name for it is "partial 16S ribosomal RNA". It matches the Rfam family "Bacterial small subunit ribosomal RNA", at positions 524 to 776 of the family's 1533-position model. The record is from RNAcentral.
UACGUAGGCAGCGAGCGUUGUUCGGAGUUACUGGGCGUAAAGGGUGUGUAGGCGGUUUUCUAAGUUUGGUGUGAAAUCUCCCGGCUCAACCGGGAGGGUGCGCCGAAAACUGGGAGACUAGAGUGCGGGAUGGGAGAGUAGAAUUCCUGGUGUAGCGGUGAAAUGCGUAGAUAUCAGGAGGAAUACCGGUGGUGAAGACGGCUCUCUGGACCGCCACUGACGCUGAGACACGAAAGCGUGGGUAGCAAACAGG